This is a non-coding RNA of Chrysemys picta bellii (western painted turtle), 841 nucleotides long. The record is from RefSeq and is a predicted model, not a curated record. Lineage: Eukaryota; Metazoa; Chordata; Testudines; Emydidae.
AAGAUUCAAAGGGAGACCAGACAGAGGCAGCAGAGCGUCGAGCCCCAUGAUGCGAUGGGCGGUCGAUACCGGCCGGGAUAGGCAAUCACGUGACGCGCUAGGCCCCUCGUCCCCAGGACUGAGAUCGGCUCUCUCUUGGGGAGAGAGUUUAUAGCCUAAUGUGUGGAUCAUCACCUCAUACCCCUGGCAAUGCUAUUUCUUCCACGUGGCUGAGAGGGCUAAAGGUUCUCAGGAAAGGAGUUAAAGGGGUAAAAAAGAGUUCCAAGAGGAUACAUGUGCUGUCUUAUUUUGACUACACUGGGCCCCAAUUCAGCAAAGCAUUUAAGCACAUGGAAUCAAUGGGGCUCCUCCAUAUUAUUGGCAGCUCCCUGACGAUCCCCUCACAGCCUUAGCCAAGUACUGAAGUCAUGGCUGCCAUCUUUCAGAUAGAGAAAGAAAUGGAUAAAAUUCCCUUUGGAGGGAUCUCUUCAAAAUGUUAGGGCACUCACCAUCAUGGUCCUUCAAGAGCUCCCCAUAGUACCUCUGCAGCAUUCCCCAUCACCGAAGCACAAUCAAAUCGGGUUCUCCCUCAGAGCAGCGCCUCUGGGCCAGCGACCACAGAUGUGAUGUUUAUUCAUAAACAUCAGAGAUGGAUCCAGGCUACAACUCCAGAUCCGAAGCCCCUGUAGUGGGUGAAGAAGACAAUUGGAAUCCAAACCCCUAUCUGGAUCCACAUUUUGCAAUUGGUACCUCUUUUUAGAAAAGGUGGAGCCAAAACACGAUAAAAAAAUCCUCAAAAACUUUUUAAGGGUCCAAGUGUGGUGGCUUUGUCCCAUAUUUAAAAUAUAGCUUUACAACCUUU